UGAGUGAGGGGACUAAAUAAAUAUUGUUGGGGACCUUUACGUAAUAAGUCUUUUCUAUAAGGAUCAAAUACAAAAUACAGAAGAUCCUUUUUGUGAAAUAAUAUACUGUCAAGGGCUUAUCUGCAAAAUUUCAUUUAGUGGCCAAAUGGGUUCGGGUUUCGGGUUUCGGGUUUGGGUUCAGAUUCGGGUUCCGGGCUCAGAUCUGAACUUGAUUUCAGUUUCGGAUUUUUUUUUUUUUAACCGGGCCCAUGUUGGGCCCACAGUGAACCGAGCCCACUGU
RNAcentral lists this long non-coding RNA (280 nucleotides) under Phoenix dactylifera (date palm). RNAcentral's name for it is "long non-coding RNA (PDAC_LNC020092)". Lineage: Eukaryota; Viridiplantae; Streptophyta; Magnoliopsida; Arecales; Arecaceae. The record is from RNAcentral.